AACUAACGCUAUAUAAGUAUCAGUUUCUGUACUUUAUUGGUAUGCGAAACUUCCGGAACCUGUCUUCCGGCAAGAUUUUGGAAGCGCGCAAGCGCUAUUUUUUUUUGUGUGCGUGCGUGUGGUGGUGGCGGCGCCCCCCUGCUGUCCGGCGGGUGGCGCGGCUCCCGCGGCGGUGGCCACGCCGCGCUGCAAGGGUGCGCCCGCGCCGCUGGGGGCCACGGGGCCGCGGAGCAGGCGUCCCCCGAGUGCCGCGGCCCAGCAGCAACGCGGCCGCGGUGUGCGUGCGCGCGGCCGCCUCCGUCCCGCGGGCGCCGCCCGCCAGCGUAUGGCGGGCGCG
This 337-nucleotide unclassified non-coding RNA is filed under the name Leishmania major strain Friedlin. RNAcentral's name for it is "spliced_leader_RNA". Lineage: Eukaryota; Euglenozoa; Kinetoplastea; Trypanosomatida; Trypanosomatidae. The record is from RNAcentral.